This is a long non-coding RNA of Melanotaenia boesemani (Boeseman's rainbowfish), 126 nucleotides long. RefSeq lists it as uncharacterized. NCBI's taxonomy places the organism in Eukaryota, Metazoa, Chordata, Actinopteri, Atheriniformes, Melanotaeniidae. The record is from RefSeq and is a predicted model, not a curated record. The transcript is spliced from 3 exons.
GCAGCUUCUCCAUGUCUGGUUCUGACUCUGGGAACUGAUAAGAAACUGGAUCCAGAUGACCUGAGUGUUCUGGCAGGUUCGUACUGGAUCAAGAGGUCACUGAUGUUUGUUGUAUGUGUUUUGAAU